AACUUGGUCCAGUUCAAUCAAGCCAUCAACAGCCAGGUGGCUUUAGUGGCCACUAUGCAUAUUACCCCAUGCCUAAAGGUUCUGGUACAAGAGCUUCUCUAUAAGUUGCACAUUGCCAUAGUGGAAGACGGCAUGGGAGAUUUGGUGGCAAACACUUACGGUGCAAUAAUAGCUGUUUUUCCUAUAUCAUGACAAUAUGUGGCACACUUCUAGACUCAUUUCAUGCCAAAGAAGUUCCUCAGAAGGGUAAGGAAAUGGAGAAUCUUACAUGGUCCAAUGCAGUCCCCAAGAAGUAAUUUUGAAUGGACAGUUACACUGGUUACUACAAUGCUGUCUCUGACCUUCUCAGGAUCGAAGAUAAUCAUGAGUAUCAAGGUGGAGAUGGGUCUAGGCGAGAGAAAAGGAAGUAGUGGUUCUUGAGAAGAAUUGUAUGGCCAAGAUAAGCUUGAACUAUCUCUCCUCUUCCAGUUCCUGCAACUUCUUAUUGCCUGAUUGAGGUCAUUACCCUAUGGUGGUAAUGACAUCAGCAAUGUAAUAAAUUCUCUCGUGGCUUUGUAUCUGGUUUAUAACAUGGGAAAUGUUUCCUCAAGAGUGGUGAUGCCAGUAUGGCUUCUGCUCUCUGGUGGUGUUGGAAUCUGCAUUAGUCUGUGGGUUUGGAGGAGAGUGAUUCAGGCCAUGGGGAAGAAUCUGACACUGUAACACCCUCUCGUGCCUUCGGUACUGGACUGGCUCCUGCCCCCUCACUAUGGUGAUUGCAUCAAAUAUCGGCCUCCCCAUCAGUACAACACGUUGUAACAUGGGCUCCUUUGUACCUGGCUUUAAUCCAAGAAAGUUGUUGACUUGACUCUUUCGUGAUAUUGUAUAGCCUGGUUUGUCACAGUCUUUAUUUCUGGAAUUGUCAGUGCUGCCAUCUUGGCUGUCUUCAAGUAUGUCAUCCUC
Molecule: long non-coding RNA, 939 nt
Filed under: Homo sapiens (human)
Lineage: Eukaryota; Metazoa; Chordata; Mammalia; Primates; Hominidae
Description: non-protein coding lnc-GOLGA6L6-9:1
Source: RNAcentral